This 74-nucleotide transfer RNA is filed under the name Vannella simplex. Its description in RNAcentral is "tRNA-Ile". It matches the Rfam family "tRNA". From Rfam's summary of the family: Transfer RNA (tRNA) molecules are approximately 80 nucleotides in length. Their secondary structure includes four short double-helical elements and three loops (D, anti-codon, and T loops). Further hydrogen bonds mediate the characteristic L-shaped molecular structure. tRNAs have two regions of fundamental functional importance: the anti-codon, which is responsible for specific mRNA codon recognition, and the 3' end, to which the tRNAs corresponding amino acid is attached (by aminoacyl-tRNA synthetases). tRNAs cope with the degeneracy of the genetic code in two manners: having more than one tRNA (with a specific anti-codon) for a particular amino acid; and 'wobble' base-pairing, i.e. permitting non-standard base-pairing at the 3rd anti-codon position. The record is from RNAcentral. Lineage: Eukaryota; Discosea; Flabellinia; Vannellidae.
UAUCUCGUAGCUCAGCUGGUUAGAGCACACGUUUGAUAAGCGUAUGGUCAUUGGUUCAAAUCCAAUCGAGCUUA